Molecule: ribosomal RNA, 313 nt
Filed under: uncultured bacterium
Lineage: Bacteria
Description: bacterial SSU rRNA
Rfam family: Bacterial small subunit ribosomal RNA
Source: RNAcentral
CGCUGGCGGCGUGCCUAAUACAUGCAAGUCGAACGCGAAAGGCUUGAAGCCUUCGGGCGGAGGGCCGAGUAGAGUGGCGAACGGGUGAGGAACACGUAGGUGACCUGCCCCGGAGAGGGGGAUAACCGUCGGAAACGGCGGCUAAUACCCCAUAAGCUCACGCGAGUUAGAGGGCGUGUGAGAAAAGCUCCGGCGCUCCGGGAGGGGCCUGCGGCCCAUCAGCUAGUUGGUAGGGUAAAGGCCUACCAAGGCGAAGACGGGUAGGGGGCCUGAGAGGGUGGUCCCCCACAUGGGAACUGAGACACGGUCCCAA